GCUGGGUCUAAUGCCUGAAUAUUAUGAGGUACUGGAAACAAAGCAAUCCUGGGCCGGUCCAGUACUUGCACAGGAGACCACCUGGGAAUCUGGGCAGCCCCAACA
RNAcentral lists this ribosomal RNA (105 nucleotides) under Cyanistes caeruleus (blue tit). Lineage: Eukaryota; Metazoa; Chordata; Aves; Passeriformes; Paridae. The record is from RNAcentral.